This 434-nucleotide ribosomal RNA is filed under the name Leifsonia sp. EL5. RNAcentral describes it as "bacterial SSU rRNA". It matches the Rfam family "Bacterial small subunit ribosomal RNA", at positions 24 to 456 of the family's 1533-position model. The record is from RNAcentral. Lineage: Bacteria; Bacillati; Actinomycetota; Actinomycetes; Micrococcales; Microbacteriaceae.
UCAGGACGAACGCUGGCGGCGUGCUUAACACAUGCAAGUCGAACGAUGAACCUGGAGCUUGCUCUAGGGAAUUAGUGGCGAACGGGUGAGUAACACGUGAGUAACCUGCCCUUGACUCUGGGAUAACCUCCGGAAACGGAAGCUAAUACCGGAUAUGACGCACGGAGGCAUCUCCUGUGCGUGGAAAGAACUUCGGUCAAGGAUGGACUCGCGGCCUAUCAGGUAGUUGGUGAGGUAACGGCUCACCAAGCCUACGACGGGUAGCCGGCCUGAGAGGGUGACCGGCCACACUGGGACUGAGACACGGCCCAGACUCCUACGGGAGGCAGCAGUGGGGAAUAUUGCACAAUGGGCGCAAGCCUGAUGCAGCAACGCCGCGUGAGGGACGACGGCCUUCGGGUUGUAAACCUCUUUUAGUAGGGAAGAAGCGAAAG